AACGAACGCUGGCGGCAUGCCUAACACAUGCAAGUCGAACGAACUUUUCGGAGUUAGUGGCGGACGGGUGAGUAACGCGUAGGAACCUGCCGAGUAGUGGGGAAUAACAGUUGGAAACGACUGCUAAUACCGCAUACGCCCUUCGGGGGAAAGAUUUAUCGCUAUUUGAGGGUCCUGCGUUCGAUUAGCUAGUUGGUGUGGUAACGGCGCACCAAGGCUCCGAUCGAUAGCUGGUCUGAGAGGAUGAUCAGCCACACUGGGACUGAGACACGGCCCAGACUCCUACGGGAGGCAGCAGUGGGGAAUAUUGGACAAUGGGGGAAACCCUGAUCCAGCAAUGCCGCGUGCGUGAAGAAGGCCUUAGGGUUGUAAAGCGCUUUCACCUGCGAUGAUGAUGACAGUAGCAGGAGAAGAAGCCCCGGCUAACUCCG
Molecule: ribosomal RNA, 431 nt
Filed under: uncultured Rhodospirillaceae bacterium
Lineage: Bacteria; Pseudomonadati; Pseudomonadota; Alphaproteobacteria; Rhodospirillales; Rhodospirillaceae
Description: bacterial SSU rRNA
Rfam family: Bacterial small subunit ribosomal RNA
Source: RNAcentral